GCUUCUGUGGUGAAGCGGUUAUCACAUUCGCCUAACACGCGGUAGGUCCCAGGAUCGAGCACUGGCAGAAACA
RNAcentral lists this transfer RNA (73 nucleotides) under Cordylochernes scorpioides. RNAcentral describes it as "tRNA-Val". The record is from RNAcentral. Lineage: Eukaryota; Metazoa; Arthropoda; Arachnida; Pseudoscorpiones; Chernetidae.